This 21-nucleotide unclassified non-coding RNA is filed under the name Dictyostelium discoideum. Lineage: Eukaryota; Evosea; Eumycetozoa; Dictyosteliales; Dictyosteliaceae. The record is from RNAcentral.
AGCAAGAUCAUCAGACUUGGU